GGCCAGACUCCUACGGGAGGCAGCAGUGGGGAAUAUUGCACAAUGGGCGAAAGCCUGAUGCAGCAACGCCGCGUGAAGGAAGAAGGGUUUCGGCUCGUAAACUUCUAUCAACAGGGACGAAAGAAAUGACGGUACCUGAAUAAGAAGCCCCGGCUAACUACGUGCCAGCAGCCGCGGUAAUACGUAGGUGGCGAGCGUUGUCCGGAAUUACUGGGUGUAAAGGGAGCGUAGGCGGGAUAUUAAGUUGAAUGUAUAAACUACCGGCUUAACCGAUAGAAGCGUUCAAAACUGAUAUUCUUGAGUGAAGUAGAGGCAGGCGGAAUUCCUGGUGUAGCGGUGAAAUGCGUAGAUAUUAGGAGGAACACCGGUGGCGAAGGCGGCCUGCUGGGCUUUAACUGACGCUGAGGCUCGAAAGCGUGGGUAGCAAACAGGAUUAGAUACCCUCGUAUCA
Molecule: ribosomal RNA, 451 nt
Filed under: uncultured bacterium
Lineage: Bacteria
Description: bacterial SSU rRNA
Rfam family: Bacterial small subunit ribosomal RNA
Source: RNAcentral